RNAcentral lists this ribosomal RNA (253 nucleotides) under uncultured bacterium. RNAcentral's name for it is "partial 16S ribosomal RNA". It matches the Rfam family "Bacterial small subunit ribosomal RNA", at positions 524 to 776 of the family's 1533-position model. The record is from RNAcentral.
UACGUAGGGUGCAAGCGUUGUCCGGAAUUAUUGGGCGUAAAGCGCGUGUAGGCGGUCCGGUAAGUCCGCUGUGAAAGUCGAGGGCUCAACCCUCGAAUGCCGGUGGAUACUGUCGGGCUUGAGUACGGGAGAGGCGAGUGGAAUUCCUGGUGUAGCGGUGAAAUGCGCAGAUAUCAGGAGGAACACCGAUUGCGAAGGCAGCUCGCUGGAACGUUACUGACGCUGAGACGCGAAAGCGUGGGGAGCAAACAGG